This 2880-nucleotide ribosomal RNA is filed under the name Stenotrophomonas pavanii. Its description in RNAcentral is "23S ribosomal RNA". It matches the Rfam family "Bacterial large subunit ribosomal RNA". Lineage: Bacteria; Pseudomonadati; Pseudomonadota; Gammaproteobacteria; Lysobacterales; Lysobacteraceae. The record is from RNAcentral.
GGUCAAGCGAAUAAGCGCACACGGUGGAUGCCUUGGCGGUCAGAGGCGAUGAAGGACGUGGCAGCCUGCGAAAAGUAUCGGGGAGCUGGCAACAAGCUUUGAUCCGGUAAUGUCCGAAUGGGGAAACCCACCCGCUUGCGGGUAUCCUGCAGUGAAUACAUAGCUGCUGGAAGCGAACCUGGUGAACUGAAAUAUCUAAGUAACCAGAGGAAAAGAAAUCAACCGAGAUUCCGUAAGUAGCGACGAGCGAACGCGGACUAGCCCUUAAGCUGAUUUGGUUCUAGGAAAACGCUCUGGAAAGAGCGGCCAUAGAAGGUGAUAGCCCUGUAUCUGAAAGGGCCAUUUCAGUGAAGACGAGUAGGGCGGGGCACGUGAAACCCUGUCUGAACAUGGGGGGACCAUCCUCCAAGGCUAAAUACUACUGACCGACCGAUAGUGAACCAGUACCGUGAGGGAAAGGCGAAAAGAACCCCGGAGAGGGGAGUGAAAUAGAACCUGAAACCGUGUGCGUACAAGCAGUAGGAGCUCCGCAAGGAGUGACUGCGUACCUUUUGUAUAAUGGGUCAGCGACUUACUGUUCGUGGCAAGCUUAACCGUAUAGGGGAGGCGAAGGGAAACCGAGUCUGAUAAGGGCGCAUAGUCGCGGGCAGUAGACCCGAAACCGGGUGAUCUAGUCAUGCCCAGGGUGAAGGUGCGGUAACACGCACUGGAGGCCCGAACCCACUCCCGUUGCAAAGGUAGGGGAUGAGGUGUGAUUAGGAGUGAAAAGCUAAUCGAACCCGGAGAUAGCUGGUUCUCCUCGAAAGCUAUUUAGGUAGCGCCUCAUAUGUAUCCUCUCGGGGGUAGAGCACUGUUAUGGCUAGGGGGUCAUCGCGACUUACCAAACCAUUGCAAACUCCGAAUACCGAGACGGACUGUAUGGGAGACACACGGCGGGUGCUAACGUCCGUCGUGAAAAGGGAAACAACCCAGACCCACAGCUAAGGUCCCAAAUUUUGUGCUAAGUGGAAAACCAUGUGGAAAGGCACAGACAGCCAGGAGGUUGGCUUAGAAGCAGCCACCCUUUAAAGAAAGCGUAAUAGCUCACUGGUCGAGUCGGUCUGCGGGGAAGAUUUAACGGGGCUAAGCACAGAACCGAAGCUUGGGGUGCAUAACUUUGUUAUGCGCGGUAGAGGAGCGUUCCGUAAGCCGUUGAAGGUGGAUUGAGAAGUCUGCUGGAGGUAUCGGAAGUGCGAAUGCUGACAUGAGUAACGAUAAUGCGGGUGAAAAACCCGCACGCCGAAAGCCCAAGGUUUCCUUGCGCAACGUUAAUCGGCGCAGGGUGAGUCGGCCCCUAAGGCGAGGACGAAAGUCGUAGUCGAUGGGAAGCAGGUUAAUAUUCCUGCACCUCGCGUAAGUGCGAUGGAGGGACGGAGAAGGUUAGGUGUACCAGGCGUUGGUUGUCCUGGGGAAAGGCGGUAGGUUUGGAUCUUUGGCAAAUCCGGGAUCCUCUAAGACCGAGCACCGAGACGAGCCUUUAAGGCGAAGUCACUGAUACCACGCUUCCAGGAAAAGCUCCUAAGCUUCAGCUUACGCAGACCGUACCGUAAACCGACACAGGUGGGUAGGAUGAGAAUUCUCAGGCGCUUGAGAGAACUCGGGUGAAGGAACUAGGCAACAUGGCACCGUAACUUCGGGAGAAGGUGCACCCUUUUUGGUGGCUCGUGCGAGCUAUAGCUGAAGAGGGUCGCAGUAACCAGGCCGCUGCGACUGUUUAUCAAAAACACAGCACUCUGCAAACACGAAAGUGGACGUAUAGGGUGUGACGCCUGCCCGGUGCUGGAAGGUUAAUUGAUGGGGUCAGCCGCAAGGCGAAGCUCUUGAUCGAAGCCCCAGUAAACGGCGGCCGUAACUAUAACGGUCCUAAGGUAGCGAAAUUCCUUGUCGGGUAAGUUCCGACCUGCACGAAUGGCGUAACGACAGCGGCGCUGUCUCCACCCGAGACUCAGUGAAAUUGAAAUCGCUGUGAAGAUGCAGCGUUCCCGUGGCAAGACGGAAAGACCCCGUGAACCUUUACUAUAGCUUUACACUGAACGUUGAGUUCGUCUGUGUAGGAUAGGUGGGAGGCUAUGAAACCAUGGCGCUAGCUGUGGUGGAGCCAUCCUUGAAAUACCACCCUGUCGUGCUUGACGUUCUAACCUGGGCCCAUUAUCUGGGUCGGGGACCGUGUAUGGUGGGUAGUUUGACUGGGGCGGUCUCCUCCUAAAGAGUAACGGAGGAGCUCGAAGGUACGCUCAGCGCGGUCGGACAUCGCGCACUGUGUGCAAAGGCAUAAGCGUGCUUGACUGCAAGAUCGACGGAUCAAGCAGGUAGGAAACUAGGACUUAGUGAUCCGGUGGUUCUGUAUGGAAGGGCCAUCGCUCAACGGAUAAAAGGUACUCCGGGGAUAACAGGCUGAUACCGCCCAAGAGUUCAUAUCGACGGCGGUGUUUGGCACCUCGAUGUCGGCUCAUCACAUCCUGGGGCUGUAGUCGGUCCCAAGGGUAUGGCUGUUCGCCAUUUAAAGUGGUACGCGAGCUGGGUUCAGAACGUCGUGAGACAGUUCGGUCCCUAUCUGCCAUGGGCGUUGGAGAUUUGAGAGGGGCUGCUCCUAGUACGAGAGGACCGGAGUGGACGAACCUCUGGUGUUCCGGUUGUCACGCCAGUGGCAUUGCCGGGUAGCUAUGUUCGGAAGCGAUAACCGCUGAAAGCAUCUAAGCGGGAAGCGCGCCUCAAGAUGAGAUCUCCCGGGGCACAAGCCCCCUGAAGGAACCAUGUAGACUACGUGGUUGAUAGGUCAGGUGUGUAAGUACAGCAAUGUAUUGAGCUAACUGAUACUAAUGAUCCGUGCGGCUUGACCAU